This 253-nucleotide ribosomal RNA is filed under the name uncultured bacterium. RNAcentral describes it as "partial 16S ribosomal RNA". It matches the Rfam family "Bacterial small subunit ribosomal RNA", at positions 524 to 776 of the family's 1533-position model. The record is from RNAcentral.
UACAGAGGUCUCGAGCGUUGUUCGGAUUCAUUGGGCGUAAAGGGUGCGUAGGUGGUCUGGUAAGUCGGAUGUGAAAUCCCGGAGCUUAACUUCGGAACUGCAUUCGUUACUGCCGGACUGGAGUACUGGAGAGGAGAUCGGAAUUUACGGUGUAGCAGUGAAAUGCGUAGAUAUCGUAAGGAAGACCAGUGGCGAAGGCGGAUCUCUGGACAGUUACUGACACUGAGGCACGAAGGCCAGGGGAGCAAACGGG